GAGCGGUAACAUUUCUAGCUUGCUAGAAGAUGACGAGCGGCGGACGGGUGAGUAAUGCUUGGGAACAUGCCUUUAGGUGGGGGACAACCAUUGGAAACGAUGGCUAAUACCGCAUAAUGUCUACGGACCAAAGGGGGCUUCGGCUCUCGCCUUUAGAUUGGCCCAAGUGGGAUUAGCUAGUUGGUGAGGUAAUGGCUCACCAAGGCGACGAUCCCUAGCUGGUUUGAGAGGAUGAUCAGCCACACUGGAACUGAGACACGGUCCAGACUCCUACGGGAGGCAGCAGUGGGGAAUAUUGCACAAUGGGCGCAAGCCUGAUGCAGCCAUGCCGCGUGUGUGAAGAAGGCCUUCGGGUUGUAAAGCACUUUCAGUUGUGAGGAAAGGUUAGUAGUUAAUACCUGCUAGCUGUGACGUUAGCAACAGAAGAAGCACCGGCUAACUCCGUGCCAGCAGCCGCGGUAAUACGGAGGGUGCGAGCGUUAAUCGGAAUUACUGGGCGUAAAGCGUACGCAGGCGGUUUGUUAAGCGAGAUGUGAAAGCCCCGGGCUCAACCUGGGAACUGCAUUUCGAACUGGCAAACUAGAGUGUGAUAGAGGGUGGUAGAAUUUCAGGUGUAGCGGUGAAAUGCGUAGAGAUCUGAAGGAAUACCGAUGGCGAAGGCAGCCACCUGGGUCAACACUGACGCUCAUGUACGAAAGCGUGGGGAGCAAACGGGAUUAGAUACCCCCGGUAGUCCACGCCGUAAAACGAUGUCUACUAGGAGUUCGGGUUUUUCGGAACUGUCUUCCAAAGGCUAACGCAUUAAGUAGAC
Molecule: ribosomal RNA, 811 nt
Filed under: bacterium WP1ISO13
Lineage: Bacteria
Description: bacterial SSU rRNA
Rfam family: Bacterial small subunit ribosomal RNA
Source: RNAcentral